UCCCUGGUGGCUCAGUGGUAAGAGAAUCUGCCUGCCAAUGCAGGGGACUGGGGUUCAAUCCCUGGUCUGGGAA
This 73-nucleotide transfer RNA is filed under the name Bos taurus (domestic cattle). It matches the Rfam family "tRNA". Rfam says of the family: Transfer RNA (tRNA) molecules are approximately 80 nucleotides in length. The record is from Rfam by way of RNAcentral. RNAcentral also lists the same sequence under 5 other names. Lineage: Eukaryota; Metazoa; Chordata; Mammalia; Artiodactyla; Bovidae.